GAAUGGAGCAGCUACUAACCAGAAGACUGCAGCUAAGGCAGCAUUGGUCCACACCUACCCUGUUUUUCGGACCUGAAGACAUUCAAGCAGCACUUUGAUAGCAAACAUCCCAAGUCUCCAAUGGUCCCAAUGCAGGCCUAAGGGACCACAUACACUCAAAUGGACCUACAGCUGGGACACACAAUGGCCACGAUUUGAAUGCUACAACUGAGACAGAAUGAUGUCGAGGGACACGCUGAGGCCCCGAAUAUGACUGGACAUGGGCCGGAUAUUUGUGACAACAACCAAAAAGGGCUGCAGAAGUACACCAGCACCACAUUUUAUAUUUAUUCCAUGGCCAACCACCUCUCUAGUUCCACGCAAUGCCUUUUAUGCCCCAUGGUUCCUCAAAUUCAGACACUCCAUCUUAUCUCUAUAAACCCACCCUACCUUCACCCAUUCCCCUAUGCUGCUUCCUUCACUUGUUCUUCUCUUGAUUUGAUAACAUCUAGACUCAGUAACACGUUUAAUAGUGUUGUGGUGUACUGUUUUUGCUACCUUUUUUCCAGCUGUGUAAUGCUGUCCUCUUUAUUCUGGGGUUCAGGCUGAAUGCAGUGGUAAAUGUGCUGCUCAUAAUUGACAGCAGCAACAUGGACCUGUUAAAUUGUCCAGAAGGGUGUUCAUAUAGCUGAUUUUAGACAUGGCUUCCUUGUUUUCAGUCUGUUGAGUGUGUUUCUCAUUCUGCUGGAGUUGACCUAGUAUUUUAUAUAAAACCUACCUCACGCAUCCAGUUUUUCCAUUUGUAACUCGCCCACCAAAAUCACAACAUGCUGUUGUGUUAUUUAUGCUGGUCUAAUUCCUAAACUGGAAAAGCAGAAGCAUAUUUGCACUGUUUGAUAGUAAUAAUAGUUUAUAUGGUGCUCUUCGAUGUUCCAGGUUUGUGAUAUUGAUGAUUAAACCAUUGAAAGUUUACUUAAAUUCAGAUGUUUAUGUGUUAUGUAUAAAAAGCAUAUGUAUGCAUUGUUUAAUAUUUUUGAUUUAUUUAAAACAAUGUAAUUGUUGGAGUUCAGGUGUUUGACAUGAUUGAUGGAUGCCUAGGUGCCUUUUUGUCAAAUAAAUAUGCUUUUCAUUCAUGAUUAUGGAUA
This is a long non-coding RNA of Oncorhynchus gorbuscha (pink salmon), 1124 nucleotides long. RefSeq lists it as uncharacterized. The transcript has 3 exons. The record is from RefSeq and is a predicted model, not a curated record. Lineage: Eukaryota; Metazoa; Chordata; Actinopteri; Salmoniformes; Salmonidae.